AUGUUCAGACGCAGGCUGAAUGCAGACCUGUGCUAUCAAUUCGAUGAGGUCAAAAAAAUUGUUGACAACAUUGACACUUCGGCUGGUCCAGAUAAGAUUGUGUGGGCUGCUGGACCCAAAGGCAAAUAUACCACUAAAUCCAUGUAUUCUUAUCUGGAGAGAGAUCUUGCUGGUUGUGACUAUAAAUGGAUUUGGGGCCAAUUACCUACCAAAAUCCAGAUUUUCCUUUGGCAACUUUUCCAGGAUGCUGUCCUGACUAGGGAUGUUAUGAAGCGUCGGAACUGGGCUAGCAAUCCCAGUUGUUCUUACUGCGAUUGCACAGAAACCUAUCUACAUUUGUUCUUUCUCUGUCCAGUGCCAAGGGUAGCCUGGCGCACUGUGGGGGCGAUGCUUGGGUCCGAUUUAUGUCCCAACAAUCUGUGCCAGUUUUACUCUUGGUGCUAUGCAUUUCUUCCUCAAGGGGAACGAUAUUUCACUAUGGGGCUGGCGGCUAUAUGUUGGGCUAUUUGGAAUCGUAGAAACCAGGCUACUUUUGAAUUCAAGAAAUUGUCAUCUCCUUUUGAGAUUAUUUCAAUGCUUUGA
RNAcentral lists this ribosomal RNA (582 nucleotides) under Triticum aestivum (bread wheat). Its description in RNAcentral is "partial small subunit ribosomal RNA". The record is from RNAcentral. Lineage: Eukaryota; Viridiplantae; Streptophyta; Magnoliopsida; Poales; Poaceae.